GAUGAAGAACGUAGCGAAAUGCGAUAAGUAAUGUGAAUUGCAGAAUUCAGUGAAUCAUCGAAUCUUUGAACGCACAUUGCGCCCGCCAGUAUUCUGGCGGGCAUGCCUGUCUGGGCGUCAUUUCAACCCUCAUGCCCCUAGGGCGUGGUGUUGGGGAUCGGCCAAAGCCCGCGAGGGACGGCCGGCCCCUAAAUCUAGUGGCGGACCCGUCGUGGCCUCCUCUGCGAAGUAGUGAUAUUCCGCAUCGGAGAGCGAUGAGCCCCUGCCGUUAAACCCCCAACUUUCCAAGGUUGACCUCAGAUCAGGUAGGAAUACCCGCUGAACUUAAGCAUAUCAAUAAGCGGAGGA
RNAcentral lists this unclassified non-coding RNA (348 nucleotides) under soil metagenome. Its description in RNAcentral is "partial contains 5.8S ribosomal RNA, internal transcribed spacer 2, and large subunit ribosomal RNA". The stretch from base 1 to 120 matches the Rfam family "5.8S ribosomal RNA", at positions 35 to 154 of the family's 154-position model. The record is from RNAcentral.